UGGGGAAUAUUGCACAAUGGGCGCAAGCCUGAUGCAGCCAUGCCGCGUGUGUGAAGAAGGCCUUCGGGUUGUAAAGCACUUUCAGCGAGGAGGAAGGUGGUGAGCUUAAUACGCUCAUCAAUUGACGUUACUCGCAGAAGAAGCACCGGCUAACUCCGUGCCAGCAGCCGCGGUAAUACGGAGGGUGCAAGCGUUAAUCGGAAUUACUGGGCGUAAAGCGCACGCAGGCGGUUUGUUAAGUCAGAUGUGAAAUCCCCGGGCUCAACCUGGGAACUGCAUUUGAAACUGGCAAGCUAGAGUCUCGUAGAGGGGGGUAGAAUUCCAGGUGUAGCGGUGAAAUGCGUAGAGAUCUGGAGGAAUACCGGUGGCGAAGGCGGCCCCCUGGACGAAGACUGACGCUCAGGUGCGAAAGCGUGGGGCAGCAAACAGGAUUAGAUACCCUGGUAGUCCACGCUGUAAACGAUGUCGAUUUUGGAGGUUGUGCCCUUGAGGCGUGGCUUCCGGAGCUAACGCGUUAAAUCGACCGCCUGGGGAGUACGGCCGCAAGGUUAAAACUUAAAUGAAUUGACGGGGUC
RNAcentral lists this ribosomal RNA (575 nucleotides) under uncultured bacterium. RNAcentral's name for it is "partial 16S ribosomal RNA". It matches the Rfam family "Bacterial small subunit ribosomal RNA", at positions 355 to 920 of the family's 1533-position model. The record is from RNAcentral.